CCCCCCUCCGAGCAUCCCUGACCCGACACGAGUGUCGGCCUUCGGAGGGGGACGGUGAGGGCUCUACGGUCAUUUCCAGGCCAGCUGCUAGUCACCCCGGCAAGGAAUGUCUGCCUCACAUCGCAGGGUGAAUCACAGAGUUUGCGCAACAGUGUUCCUGUGGGGCAGCGAGGGGCGGAGGCAGGAGCCCUCCUGCUGUUUACCUGUCAGCCAGUGGACUUUGGAACUAAGUUGAGCAUCGUUUACAUAUAGCAUGCUUCGUCAGCUGUUUGUAAUAUAUACCUGAGCACUCUUUGGAAACCUCGGAGCGAGAAAAACAGAAGGGACAUGAAAAAAGAGAAUAAAUGCACAAUUGUGCU
Molecule: long non-coding RNA, 359 nt
Organism: Calypte anna (Anna's hummingbird)
Lineage: Eukaryota; Metazoa; Chordata; Aves; Apodiformes; Trochilidae
Exons: 3
Source: RefSeq, a predicted model, not a curated record